GUGCUCACUUUGACAGCACACGUACUAAAAUUGGAAUGAUACACAGAUGAUUAGCAUUGGGGCCCCUGCACAAGGAUGACACACAAAUUUGUGAAGCAUUCCAUGAUUUA
RNAcentral lists this small nuclear RNA (110 nucleotides) under Catagonus wagneri (Chacoan peccary). The record is from RNAcentral. Lineage: Eukaryota; Metazoa; Chordata; Mammalia; Artiodactyla; Tayassuidae.